This 77-nucleotide transfer RNA is filed under the name Candidatus Magasanikbacteria bacterium CG_4_10_14_0_2_um_filter_37_12. RNAcentral describes it as "tRNA-Val". It matches the Rfam family "tRNA". From Rfam's summary of the family: Transfer RNA (tRNA) molecules are approximately 80 nucleotides in length. Their secondary structure includes four short double-helical elements and three loops (D, anti-codon, and T loops). Further hydrogen bonds mediate the characteristic L-shaped molecular structure. tRNAs have two regions of fundamental functional importance: the anti-codon, which is responsible for specific mRNA codon recognition, and the 3' end, to which the tRNAs corresponding amino acid is attached (by aminoacyl-tRNA synthetases). tRNAs cope with the degeneracy of the genetic code in two manners: having more than one tRNA (with a specific anti-codon) for a particular amino acid; and 'wobble' base-pairing, i.e. permitting non-standard base-pairing at the 3rd anti-codon position. Lineage: Bacteria; Candidatus Magasanikiibacteriota. The record is from RNAcentral. RNAcentral also lists the same sequence under 2 other names.
GCGCGCCUAGCUCAGUUGGUUAGAGCAUCUCGUUUACACCGAGAGGGUCGGGGGUUCGAAUCCCUCGGCGCGCACCA